GCUAUGAUGCCAAAUACGCAAGGACGGAGGACGCCAGAGGAUGUGUCCUGUUUUCUUUCCUUCGUCGUUCCUUCAUUCUGUUGCUCAGUAACUACGAGUUCAUCCGUAUUGCUACUAAUUACAAAUUGUUAGUUACGAUCAUUUCAAGUUCUCACGAUAGCCCCCUUUGUCGCACCGGCCGGAAGGGGUCGGCACAGGCUAAAUGCUAUUGAUAUUACCCGAAUACCUCGGAAGACAGUACUACGCAGAACUGUACAGAUGUACAGGUGCAUGGGAUGGGACAGGACGACCACCGAUUCCAUUCGACCUGUGAAUUCCCGGAGACUUCAACCGCUUACAGGACUGUGGAACUGGGUAGGGGAUUUCUGUAAAUUCUGUAGGUGGCCCCUAACGGGUCAUGUAGGCUAGUAUUUAAGCAGCGAUCCGGGUUUGUCAGCAUCCGAUGGCAAAAAUAAUAAAUAAAGAAGGGGAUAUUGUAAAACAUGCAAUCUUGAUGGGAGGUUUUACCACUGCACCAAAAGGAUCAAUACUUUCAAGGUGGUGAACCUAUCUUAAGAUAUAGUUUGCAUGUUUCACAGAUAUCCGAUACAUCUGCCGUACGGGACGAGCAAGGAUGGAUAAGUGGCGGUCGGAUACACCGCGCUAAGGCCUGCCUGGCUGAGAGAUUGUAUAGAGAACAGUGUACAGGAGGAGUAUGCCGUAGAUAUAGUUACCACGCAGUGCCGGCGGGGAUAUCUUCAAAGAAAUAUACUGCAUACAGUGCAGUGCAUUCUUCAUUU
RNAcentral lists this small RNA (779 nucleotides) under Histoplasma capsulatum. RNAcentral's name for it is "hypothetical RNA". Lineage: Eukaryota; Fungi; Ascomycota; Eurotiomycetes; Onygenales; Ajellomycetaceae. RNAcentral also lists the same sequence under 1 other name. The record is from RNAcentral.